UGUAAAAUAAGCUAAAUGUCAAGCUGUUGGGUUCAUACCCCAAAA
This 45-nucleotide transfer RNA is filed under the name Potamopyrgus antipodarum. RNAcentral's name for it is "partial tRNA-Met". Lineage: Eukaryota; Metazoa; Mollusca; Gastropoda; Littorinimorpha; Tateidae. The record is from RNAcentral.